GGAAUCCUUAUCACAGAGUCAGGAGAAUGGUGAAGUUGGGGUAUCAGGCCGGGACUAUGCGUUAGUCCCCGGCGACAUGUGGCUGCAGGCACUCAAAUGGCACAGUAACUCUAAAGCUGCUGCUAAGAAUGGAAAAAGUUUUUCAGUUACAGAUGAGGAUAUUGCGGAUGUCUAUCCUUUACAGCUGAGGCUUUCUGUUUCACGGGAAACC
RNAcentral lists this unclassified non-coding RNA (211 nucleotides) under Hevea brasiliensis (rubber tree). The record is from RNAcentral. Lineage: Eukaryota; Viridiplantae; Streptophyta; Magnoliopsida; Malpighiales; Euphorbiaceae.